Molecule: long non-coding RNA, 520 nt
Organism: Dicentrarchus labrax (European seabass)
Lineage: Eukaryota; Metazoa; Chordata; Actinopteri; Moronidae
Exons: 3
Source: RefSeq, a predicted model, not a curated record
CCAAACUCCUGGAGAUAUUUCGGAGGAAGGGCGGGACUGCAGGGACCAAAAUAAAACCAAUGUUGGACUCACUGAAUGAGCAUCAUGUCGAUGGCAGAAGGGACAUUAUCAUCCGUUGCUUAGUUGAGUACCUUGGAGAGAGUGGAGAGGAGCUGAUCAAAGACUAUCAGGACGUCAGCCAAGAAGCAGUGAAAGAGGACUGCAGUAAUCACAUGAUGAAGAUCACCGUCAUCCAUCCCAACGUGGCACAGGAAAACCAAGAUCCCGUGUAAGUGUCAGUCAUCAUUGAGGGGACAGAAGUUCUGGAGGACUGCGGAAGUGUGUCAAACGCUUGCCUCCUACUCAUGGGUGUCAUCUAUGCUGUCAACUUAAGUUACCCACUGAAACUGAAAUAUACGUUUGAAGUAUUUCAGAAGCUGUUUCUUGAGCUUGACAUCCUUAAAAUGUCAGCAAAGGUCCAGUCUCUCCACAAGAAACUUUUAGCAUGAGUGUUUAAGUGUUAUUUGUGCUUUUGUCCAGC